Non-coding RNA from Lupinus albus (white lupine), 599 nucleotides. Lineage: Eukaryota; Viridiplantae; Streptophyta; Magnoliopsida; Fabales; Fabaceae. The record is from the annotation of a GenBank genome assembly.
UUAAUUUGACCCAUUCAUAAAUGGUUGAACCGAAGUACACAAUCUGCACCUGCAAGCAUAACUUAUUUUCUUCGUCACAUCUCUACAAUGGCUGAUGAGGAACCCGUUGAUCAGAAGAAAUACCUUGAAGAGUCAUGCAAACCAAAAUGUGUAAAACCAUUACUUGAAUAUCAGGCAUGUGUUAAAAGGAUCCAAGGCGAUGAAUCUGGUCACAAACAUUGCACUGGACAGUAUUUUGAUUAUUGGUCUUGUGUUGACAAAUGUGUUGCGCCAAGGCUACUCCCCAAACUGAAGUGAUGGUGGGAUAAUUUUAUGGUAUAUUAUCAUUAUGUUUGUUCUAUUUUCAGUCCCAAAAUACUGCUCCCAAACGUUUGAUUUUGUAAUCAAACCUUAUGUUCUUUACUGUGAAAUGUUUGGGCCCUUGAUGGCCUCUGGUUCUGAUUAAUAAGAUGUUUAUGCCAGAUUGUAACUUUGAGAUUUAGAAGAUGUAUUCUGGCAUGGAUCCAACAUUUUUAAUGUCUUUGAGUUUGGAAUAUUAAGAUGUUUAUUUUUAUCAUUUUGAAGAUGCUUUUUUAUGAAUAUAUUAAUUCUAUUGAAGA